UGUGAUUGGUUCUCAGCUGACCGGGAGAAACAGAAGUAAACAAAAGCCCGCUCUGAAACGUAGCUGGAAUCCGUGUUUCUGUGUAAAAAAAUUGUUAGAUAUCAAAAUUUAAGCCUAUUCAAGCUCAUUAUAAUUAGGGUUUUACUCAAAAAAAUUAUGAAUUAAUUUGUAAUAGUCCAUCGUCAUGACGAUUCUUGAGAAGAAGACAGUUCAGCUUUUGCUUUUCGUUGUUGGAGUAAUUACCCUCAAAUUCACUGCUGAAAAAUGUAGGGAAUUGGUUGGUGGAGAGGCUGCAUCCAAAAGUAGCUGUUUUGAUGGGGGUUAUGGAACCCUUUCAUGCAUGGCGAAGGAGGGUGUAAAACUUUAUGUCUACAACAUCAGAUCUAUCCAUGUAGAGAGUGUGAGGAACAAGGCAAUUGAGACAGCUCUAUCUGAUGCAUUAACACAAGGCAUGCCUACCAAAGAUGCAGUCAAACUAGCCCAGAAAGAAGGAGCUAAAGCAGCAAAACUGGCUACUCAGAAAGCCAAGCGCAUCAUAGGUCCCAUCGUUUCUUCAGGAUGGGAUUUUUUUGAAGUCUUUUACUACGGGGGUACAAUAACAGAAGGGUUCCUUCGGGGCAUGGGGACAUUAUUUGGCACCUACUCUGUGGGCUACGUUGGAGAGCAAAGAUUUGGGCGGUUUGGUUAUUUGGUCGGAAGUCAUCUGGGCAGCUGGGUUGGAGGACAAAUUGGGCUGAUGUUGUAUGACGUGAUCAAUGGAGUUGAGUACAUGCUGCUGUUUUUACAACUGGACGAACCUAAAGUUUAUGACAAUGCGUCAAUGAUGUUUCCUACAUAAAUGAAAUGCCGACUCAUACUUCUGAUGAGUCCAAUGAUUAGAAAUUCCUGCUUACAAGAGCCCUGUGACACGCACGAAGAAUUUUAGAUCAGGAUCUAGGAAAUUUGUUCAGAAUGGACAAAUCAAUGGUGAAACUGACAACAAUCAAGUUCCUAAAUGGAUGCAAUCCUACAAAUUCUGUGCAAGAUGAUGAGUCGAGAAGGGGUUGAUAACUGGAGUUUGGAAAGAGUUAUAACCAACAAAAGCUUUGCACUGGUGAGUUGAUUUUAGUUGUCCUAAGUUCAAUAUUUUCUUCGUAUCAUGUCUUUAGAAGCUAAGCCAACUUCAGUGUACAUUGUCCCAAGUUACUGGUGCCAUUGGGUAAUUAUAAAGGAGAUGGAAACAAACUGAUACUAUUGUCUUCUUGAAGAUUAAUGAUAUUGUUUUCGUUACUGGUUAAUAUA
RNA transcript from Olea europaea var. sylvestris, 1281 nucleotides. RefSeq lists it as uncharacterized. The transcript has 3 exons. The record is from RefSeq and is a predicted model, not a curated record. Lineage: Eukaryota; Viridiplantae; Streptophyta; Magnoliopsida; Lamiales; Oleaceae.